GAGAAGCUUGCUUCUCUUGAGAGCGGCGGACGGGUGAGUAAUGCCUAGGAAUCUGCCUGGUAGUGGGGGAUAACGUUCGGAAACGGACGCUAAUACCGCAUACGUCCUACGGGAGAAAGCAGGGGACCUUCGGGCCUUGCGCUAUCAGAUGAGCCUAGGUCGGAUUAGCUAGUUGGUGGGGUAAUGGCUCACCAAGGCGACGAUCCGUAACUGGUCUGAGAGGAUGAUCAGUCACACUGGAACCGAGACACGGUCCAGACU
RNAcentral lists this ribosomal RNA (261 nucleotides) under Pseudomonas sp. Sy5-5. Its description in RNAcentral is "partial 16S ribosomal RNA". It matches the Rfam family "Bacterial small subunit ribosomal RNA", at positions 73 to 337 of the family's 1533-position model. Lineage: Bacteria; Pseudomonadati; Pseudomonadota; Gammaproteobacteria; Pseudomonadales; Pseudomonadaceae. The record is from RNAcentral.